Rattus norvegicus (Norway rat) is the source of this 3857-nucleotide long non-coding RNA. RefSeq lists it as uncharacterized. Lineage: Eukaryota; Metazoa; Chordata; Mammalia; Rodentia; Muridae. The record is from RefSeq and is a predicted model, not a curated record.
GUGGCCAAUGAACGAUACCCGCCCCUCCUCUCUUGGACUUAGCCACGCCCUUCAUUAGUUCCUGAGGGGAUUUUUCAGAACAGAGGUUAUGGCAGUUUCACUAUCCAAUUCCAUUUUUAGCAGGUGUGCUUCCUGACCAAAGAAGUCAGAUGAGUGCAUGAGCAGCCCCUUCAAGGACAAGGCUUGGAUUCCCAGGAGCAGACAAGGAACUCUGUGGGCAUACUCCAAGGAAUCUGGACCUCCUCUGUCACAGGACAUCCACUGUUUAAGCACCACCACUACCUCAGGAAGUCCACUGUCUGUGUGUCAACUCCACUGUUACAGGACCAUAAGUGUCUCAGCACUUCAACUAUCACAGCACUUCUACUGUUCAGGAGCUCAAGAGUCUCAGCAUCUCAAGUGUCACAGGACCUCCUUUGUCCAAGAACUGGACUGUCCAAGCAACACUACUAUUGCGGGACCUCCACUGUCACAGGACUUCCACUGUAGGAGCACUACAACUGUCUCAGGACACCCACUGUCCUAUAACCUCCACUAUCCCAGGAAUUCCACUGUCGUAGCACCACCCGUAGCAACUAAAGUGUUUCAGGACAUCAACUGAAGCAAGAUCUCCCAUGAUUCUGCAACUUCACUGCCACAGGAUCUCUACAGUGACAGGAAUACCCCUGAAUCAGCAAUUCCAAUUUUGCAGGACCUCCACUGUAGCAGAACCUUCAAUUGUGCAGCAGCUCCCCUGUAGGUAGAUUGACCUCCAUGAUCUCAGUGCAUCGAUUUUCAAAGGACCUUCACUGUCACAGAACCGGCGCUAUUUCAGUGCCUCCACUGUCGCAGGACCUACCUCUUCACAGGAUCUGCACUGUUGCAGCAACUGUAAUUUCAAUUUUUCAAAGUCAUUGCUGUUUAUAUUUGAGGCUGAAUGAAAUGUGAUGCUACUUUUGAAAGCAUAAAAAUUUGUUCUAUAGCUCUUGUGAUAAAUGCCGUGUGUGCUUGGACCAGUAAACUAUGGAAGACUUCAUGAGCUCAUACCACUCUCCACCUCACUUUGUGGAAGCUGGUGUUUUUAGAGUGUGAUAAACUUCAGGUGAAUGGAUGCAUUCAGCUGCACCACGCUCUAGAGUGGGCUACACAGCCGUCAUAUUGAGUCCUUGCUGGGAAGAGAAGAAAUCCAGAGGAGGGAGAAGGCUUGGGUUGGGGGAAGUAUCAUAAAAUACUUAUUAGAUAUAAGAAGGUAAGAAUUAUGGGGAACUGGAAAACAGAGCCAGAGGAAGAAUGAGCACAGAGCAAACUGGGAAGGACAAAGUACAAAGGCACUUGGGUUUUGCCAUCUGCAUGUUCUCUGGAAAAUCUCCCUUGGCCUCAUUUCUGGGAGAAAACUCUUCCUCCACCCCCUUGUAAGUUUUCAUUCUUGAAGGAAAGCAGCAACACAACUUCAUCAGUGAAUUUCCCCAUUGGAAUUGGUUCAUCCUUUAAUGCCUCUGGGAAAUCCCCAGAUGGGGAAUGUCCUGCUCUCUGCUGAAGGACAGCAGGAAAGUAGGUUGUCCUCUGUUUUCUCGUUGCUACAGCUCUUCCAAAUGUGGCUUAUUGGCGAGUGAAGACACAGGACACUUCUGGUGUGUAUGUAUGCUUUGUUCGCUGUGGGUGUUGUCGGUAGUGUCCUGAAAAGAAGAAGGGCAUGCCCAAUGGCUCUUUGCUUCCUCUUUGACUAGCCUUAUGAUCAUAGGGAUACACUAGGCCAUUGGAAGAUGAGGAGAACAAUGUGUCUAUGUUGUGUUCACUUCUAUUCCUAUUUAGUCCUUGAGGGAAAUCAGCAAGGGUAGAGAAGGGGACCGUAACUGGACAAAGCUGCUGAGCCUGUGUUGUGCAGCAAUUCCUGUGUAUAACUUGAUGUUACAUUAAGCAAUAGGAUGUCAUGUUCUGUUUAUACCUUUUUGAUGCAAUGAAUCUAUAAUAUUUUACCUCAAACCUCAAUAUAUUACGUUUCUUCCUCUUUUGGAGAAUCUGGCAUGGGAGGGAUCACUUCUUCAUAAGGAUUUGUGAACCUCUUCCAGUUUUCAUUGACCAGGGGUACAUCAUCACCUCUGUGACUGUCAGCCCAUAGUUUGGAUUUACUUUCAGUAAUAGGCUAAGCUGUCUCUUCUGACAACCCACAGUGAGCAGGGUACACACCUGCUACAACCUGUCUUCUGAACUGUUGUAUGUCAACAGAGUCAAAUACAACAGUGAAAUAUAAGCCUACUCCUAAGAUCCAUAUGUUGGUUUUUUUUUUUUGCACCACCAUAAAGUUGUCCUAGGAAGAGAUCAGGUGCACCAAUAGGGUAAGCACCAUGCUGCCAGUUCAGCAUUUGCCCAGAUUUGUCUUGAGUUGAAGGCCAAAGUCGAUGCUUUUGACUUUUCUGUUCUUCUUUAACAAAAUAUAAUCUGGUUUCAGGUCACUGUGAACUUAUACAGUGCCCAUAGCCAUAGAUAAAGCCUGCUAAUAUUUGCCUAAAUAUUUCCUUGGCUCCUUCCUCCUCUCGGUGGAAAGACUUUCAGAUGUAUUUGUAAAGCUGUAAAAUUUCAACCAGUUUCACGAUAAGUUAUUAGAAUUGUCUCAGACUCAAUUGGAGAAGCAAGAUGAUGUUGGGGUGGAUGAAAAACUUCAUUAUAUUUGCCAUGGUCAUGUUUGGCUGGCACCAUUGCUUCUUCUUUGCAUGCACUUUGAUAACCCCUGUAGCAGAACUUCCACUGUCCCAGCACCUGAACUAUCCCAAGACCUCCACAGUCAAAGGACCAAUAUUGUGGUAGGGCGUCUGUGGUCAGGCAAUUCCUCUGUCUCAGACCCUCCAAAUUGCAAGACCUUUACGGGCACUGGAAGUCACUGUCCCUAAACUUCCACUGUUGGAGUACCUCAACUGUAACAAGGACCUCUACUAUUGUACAACCCCCUUGUCAUAGCAUGUCUAUUGUUACAAAGUAGUCCACUGUCAAAGGACCUCCAGGGUCUCAGCCUCUCCACUGUUACAGGAUCUCUACUGUCUUAGGACCACUGCUGUUGGAGGACCUCCUGUCUCUCAGCAACUUCAGUUUGUUGGAGCUCUCCUAUCAGAGGACAUUUACAUUUGCUGUACUUCCAGUGUCACAGCUGUUAUAAGAACCUCCAUUCUCACAGGACCUCCAGUGCGUCAGUACCUCCACUGUCCAAGGACUUUUAUAUUGUAGGACCUCUACUGUCCUACAGAAUGUCCACUGUUGCUAGAUUUCCACUGUCACAACACCACAACCAUUACAAGAACUGCAAUUUUGGCAUGAGCUCCAGUGUUCCAGCCCCUCCAGUGUCAUAGGACUUCCACUAUCCCAGGACGUCCACUGUCUCACCAAGGCCAAUUUAAAGGACCUCUACUAUAACAGGUUAUCCACUGUAGCUGGACUUACACUGUUGCAGUACCUCAACUGUUGCAGGACCAACAAGGUUGCAGGACAUAGACACUCUCAGCAGCUAGAAUUUGCAGGACCUCUACUGGCACACAAAUUCCACAGUUGCUGGAGCUCCACUGUCACUGCAAAUGCACUGUCUCAUGAUAUUCACUGUUGCUGGACCAGUAGUGUGGCAGCACAUCCAUUUUUGCCAAGCCCCUCCACUGACGCAAGACUUCCACUUUUAUAGCACCUUCACUGUCCAAGCAAACCAACUCCUGCAGGAUCUCCAUUGUCUCAGGGCAUUCACUAAUGCCAGCUCUCCAAUGUUGUAGUACUUUUUAAAAAUUCCUCUAAAAAAGGUUACUUUGUUAUUUACAAAUUACAAUUCAGGUGUUGAGAAAAUAAAUAAGGUCAGUUUCCCCCCUAGAUACUAAGUAAAUAAAAUGUUUUUCUAGACACAA